Long non-coding RNA from Canis lupus familiaris (dog), 827 nucleotides. RefSeq lists it as uncharacterized. The record is from RefSeq and is a predicted model, not a curated record. The transcript has 3 exons. Lineage: Eukaryota; Metazoa; Chordata; Mammalia; Carnivora; Canidae.
UUUUACUGCCCAGGAGACUAGGACAGUAGCCCUAUUCUAAAUUAGUCCAUACGGGGAAUUAGCUCUUAGUAAAAAAAAUUUUAAAAAUAUUAAUAUAGGAUUAACAGCCGUUUGAAUGAUUGGAUGCAAAUUUUUAUAUGGGACUAAUUAAUUCAUGACUUUUUUUUUAAACCUAUAUUUUUUAUCAUUAAGAAGGGAAACACAUUGAUCAGAAUAACUCAGAAGCACGCAACGGAAUAAAAGGAGAAAGCAAAAAUCCUUGUUUCCAGCAUUUGUUAAAUAUUUGCCUUAAAGCCAACAGAGCACUAGUUAGAUGACAGGAUAGGAAGUUCUAUUAAUGAUGGGCUUUUCAUUACCAGAGAUAUGCUUUUGCAAUUUUCCUAGAUUUCUGCUCCCGGGUCGCACGAUUGCUCAAGUGCCAGCGAUUUUUAGAUGACUGAAAUAUCACCUUUGAAUCCCCUUACCAUUACAAGAAUAUUCACGAGGUAACCUGAAGGUACUUCUAACUUAGGAUGCUUCUCAGCCAUAUAACUUCCAUCUUCCCGGCUGCUGGAACCCAGUAAUAAUGAAGUCCAGGGAUAAAAUCAGAGUGACUAUCAGAGAUGAACACUACCAAGACUUGAGGAGAGUUCUGGAGUGCUCGGAGGACUUUUACUCUUAAACAGGCAAUCGGUUUGCAACUCCAUGAGGUGCAGGAGGCUGAGUGCAGCCCUGAGCUUGAAACUGCCUUUGUGAAAUUGUCUGACAUCCCAAAUACCCUUUUAUGUUUCAUUGAAACUGUAUUUAUUUACCGGGGGUAUGAAAUCAUGGGACAAACAUGGGCAUCU